This 2333-nucleotide long non-coding RNA is filed under the name Homo sapiens (human). Its description in RNAcentral is "non-protein coding lnc-ESM1-7:1". Lineage: Eukaryota; Metazoa; Chordata; Mammalia; Primates; Hominidae. The record is from RNAcentral.
GCUCUCUUGGAGAAAGGCAGCACAGCUGGGAGGGCUCACAACAGGAGGCCUGUUGAAAACAAGUCGUGGUUUCACCCUGUGUUUUGAUUUCUGUUCAGGGAAGGGCACUUCCUCUUGCAUUUGUAGGAGCCAAGUAACACAUUCUGGGUGGAGGGAACUAUGGUAGAAAGCCUAGUGUUGGACACAUGAAAAGGUGGCAGCAUCUUAGAACUGGCUAAACACAUAUCUUGGCAUAAGAACUUGGGUGGCAGGCAACCAAGAUUUGGGGAGUGCUUUUCCUGCAUCAUUUUCUGCUGGGAUUGCAAUAUGAGGGAGGCCUUGUUGAUGGGUGUAGUUUGUUAUGGUUGGCAAUACCUUCUGGUUAGUAGUGGUUGAGUGCUUGCUAACUUGUGAAUUCUUCAGAAGAGAGUAGAAUAUAAAAAGCCUUCAAGCCUCUCCUGUCUCCCCCGCAAUGCGGCUAACGCAGGGCAACCGGCAGCAGUGAGCUGUGGAUCCAGGCACUGGCUAGAGAAGUUGACAGACCACGAACACGGGGCAAGCUGAGUCUUUCUGUUUCACUUCCGGCAUGUUUUUCACCCACAGGGAUAUUUUGGUCUGUUUCAAAGAAGAGGAAAUCAGCCCCUAGCAGAGUGUUUCAGAAAAGCAGCAGAAGAAAAGAAAAAAGAUUAAAGCCAUAUCUCUUGGGGAGAGAGAUAAAAAUCUGGAUUUUGUUUGAAACAAUGUUUCCAUUUCCAACACCUCAGGUCCAUAAAAAGUAGGAGAAAAAAAGUCUUCUUGGGGUUUCAGCAUGCACAGUGCAUUUAUUCUCUCUCUCAUUUCUUAAUUUGUCAGUUUCUUUCGCCAAGUACCAAAUCCAGUAAAUGUUCUUUAAAUGGAAAGAAAAAAGCAAUAAUGAAUGCCAGAAAAGUUUCCCAACCAGCCGGCCAAACCACAAGUAUCCAAAAAUGUGAUUUCAUUUUUAAUAAUACAGAAAACUGAGGAAUAUCAAGUAGAAAUAUAAAGAGAGGAAAAACAUUGACUUAUUCUAAACACCAAUAAAAAGGAUUUCCAACUUCAGAAUGUUUGUAGAAGACAUGAAGAGAAAUAGCUAGUCAAUGAAGGAAUUCAGAACCCGGUGUUCACAAAAUUAAGAAGAUACUAGUGAUCAAUGAACUCUAAACACUCAUAUGGGUUUGCCUUCUCUGAAUCCUUUGAAAUUCACUCUCUAUUCGGUGUCCAAAUUUCCUGUAUAUGUAAAAUGGAGCCAAGGAGCCCACAUUGUGAACAGAGAAAGUAAAGAUCGUGUAGGAUGAAGACAUUCGUGUUGUAACCUGUGUCUUUUAUGCCAACUCUUAGAAUUUAAGGAGCAGCUGGGGAGGCCAGCAGGCUGACUUAAGCCCACAAAGGAUGGCCUCUGAUCCCUGAAACUGGGGGAAGAAGCAAGAUAAUUCUUAACUACUCAGGUGACAUCUCUUCCAAGAAGUUUUCUCUAACUUACUCCCUAGCCCAGGAGGGAAGGCUUAGACCCCUCAUCUGUUUUCCCGGAACACCUGGGCAUAGCUCUUAUUGCAUCCAAACGGUUCUUAUAAUGCAAUGCAACACAAUACACAGUAUCUAUAUGUCUCCCUUGUUAGACCAUGGAGUCUAGAGCAGGGAUAUCUUUACUUCUCUGGUGCCAGGUAUAGUGGCUGGAACAUCAAUUACCUAAUUGACAUGAAUGCUUUCUUUCUUUGUAUCCAAAUAACUCAGGGCAUUUUAGUUGUUUUAUCCUAUGGUUAUAUCAUUCUUACCAUGUUUUAGUACCGGCAAAUAGAAUUCAUUAUUUCCCAGGAUAUAUCAGUUAAUAAUUUCAUAAACAGAGAAACUAACUACAUCUGGAGCAGUGCUUCCCAAACUUUACUGUGCAUGCAAAUCACCUGUGGAUCUUGCUACAAAGCCGAUCGUCACUCAUUUGGCCUGGGAAGGGGCCUGAGAAGCUGCCUUUCUAACAAGCUCCCAAGUGCUGCCAAUGCUCUUGGUCCAUAAAGUAAGAGUGGCUUGAGCCAGAUAGAGUUUAAUUUUGUUUCCUGAAAGUUAAGUCCAGAGAUUAGCAGUCCAGAGCUUGUUUGGCAGUUCUGCCACAUCAUCAUCAGCCCAGGCUCUUCUAUCUUUCUGCUUUACUAUCCUAGGUUCUGUUUACCCCAAGGUCUCCCCUUGUCCCAAGAUAGCAGCUGCUACUCUAGCCAUCACACCUAUAUUGUAGUCAGUAGAGAGGAGGACACACCAGGGCAAAUGGCUGACAGCUGGGUCAGCCCCUUCUAAAGGAGUUGUCAGGAGGAGCCCAUCUGACAACUUUCACUCCUAUCUCACUGGCC